This 2903-nucleotide ribosomal RNA is filed under the name Escherichia coli. RNAcentral's name for it is "23S ribosomal RNA". It matches the Rfam family "Bacterial large subunit ribosomal RNA". The record is from RNAcentral. Lineage: Bacteria; Pseudomonadati; Pseudomonadota; Gammaproteobacteria; Enterobacterales; Enterobacteriaceae.
GGUUAAGCGACUAAGCGUACACGGUGGAUGCCCUGGCAGUCAGAGGCGAUGAAGGACGUGCUAAUCUGCGAUAAGCGUCGGUAAGGUGAUAUGAACCGUUAUAACCGGCGAUUUCCGAAUGGGGAAACCCAGUGUGUUUCGACACACUAUCAUUAACUGAAUCCAUAGGUUAAUGAGGCGAACCGGGGGAACUGAAACAUCUAAGUACCCCGAGGAAAAGAAAUCAACCGAGAUUCCCCCAGUAGCGGCGAGCGAACGGGGAGGAGCCCAGAGCCUGAAUCAGUGUGUGUGUUAGUGGAAGCGUCUGGAAAGGCGCGCGAUACAGGGUGACAGCCCCGUACACAAAAAUGCACAUACUGUGAGCUCGAUGAGUAGGGCGGGACACGUGGUAUCCUGUCUGAAUAUGGGGGGACCAUCCUCCAAGGCUAAAUACUCCUGACUGACCGAUAGUGAACCAGUACCGUGAGGGAAAGGCGAAAAGAACCCCGGCGAGGGGAGUGAAAAAGAACCUGAAACCGUGUACGUACAAGCAGUGGGAGCCUCUUUUAUGGGGUGACUGCGUACCUUUUGUAUAAUGGGUCAGCGACUUAUAUUCUGUAGCAAGGUUAACCGAAUAGGGGAGCCGAAGGGAAACCGAGUCUUAACUGGGCGUUAAGUUGCAGGGUAUAGACCCGAAACCCGGUGAUCUAGCCAUGGGCAGGUUGAAGGUUGGGUAACACUAACUGGAGGACCGAACCGACUAAUGUUGAAAAAUUAGCGGAUGACUUGUGGCUGGGGGUGAAAGGCCAAUCAAACCGGGAGAUAGCUGGUUCUCCCCGAAAGCUAUUUAGGUAGCGCCUCGUGAAUUCAUCUCCGGGGGUAGAGCACUGUUUCGGCAAGGGGGUCAUCCCGACUUACCAACCCGAUGCAAACUGCGAAUACCGGAGAAUGUUAUCACGGGAGACACACGGCGGGUGCUAACGUCCGUCGUGAAGAGGGAAACAACCCAGACCGCCAGCUAAGGUCCCAAAGUCAUGGUUAAGUGGGAAACGAUGUGGGAAGGCCCAGACAGCCAGGAUGUUGGCUUAGAAGCAGCCAUCAUUUAAAGAAAGCGUAAUAGCUCACUGGUCGAGUCGGCCUGCGCGGAAGAUGUAACGGGGCUAAACCAUGCACCGAAGCUGCGGCAGCGACACUAUGUGUUGUUGGGUAGGGGAGCGUUCUGUAAGCCUGUGAAGGUGUACUGUGAGGUAUGCUGGAGGUAUCAGAAGUGCGAAUGCUGACAUAAGUAACGAUAAAGCGGGUGAAAAGCCCGCUCGCCGGAAGACCAAGGGUUCCUGUCCAACGUUAAUCGGGGCAGGGUGAGUCGACCCCUAAGGCGAGGCCGAAAGGCGUAGUCGAUGGGAAACAGGUUAAUAUUCCUGUACUUGGUGUUACUGCGAAGGGGGGACGGAGAAGGCUAUGUUGGCCGGGCGACGGUUGUCCCGGUUUAAGCGUGUAGGCUGGUUUUCCAGGCAAAUCCGGAAAAUCAAGGCUGAGGCGUGAUGACGAGGCACUACGGUGCUGAAGCAACAAAUGCCCUGCUUCCAGGAAAAGCCUCUAAGCAUCAGGUAACAUCAAAUCGUACCCCAAACCGACACAGGUGGUCAGGUAGAGAAUACCAAGGCGCUUGAGAGAACUCGGGUGAAGGAACUAGGCAAAAUGGUGCCGUAACUUCGGGAGAAGGCACGCUGAUAUGUAGGUGAAGUCCCUCGCGGAUGGAGCUGAAAUCAGUCGAAGAUACCAGCUGGCUGCAACUGUUUAUUAAAAACACAGCACUGUGCAAACACGAAAGUGGACGUAUACGGUGUGACGCCUGCCCGGUGCCGGAAGGUUAAUUGAUGGGGUCAGCGCAAGCGAAGCUCUUGAUCGAAGCCCCGGUAAACGGCGGCCGUAACUAUAACGGUCCUAAGGUAGCGAAAUUCCUUGUCGGGUAAGUUCCGACCUGCACGAAUGGCGUAAUGAUGGCCAGGCUGUCUCCACCCGAGACUCAGUGAAAUUGAACUCGCUGUGAAGAUGCAGUGUACCCGCGGCAAGACGGAAAGACCCCGUGAACCUUUACUAUAGCUUGACACUGAACAUUGAGCCUUGAUGUGUAGGAUAGGUGGGAGGCUUUGAAGUGUGGACGCCAGUCUGCAUGGAGCCGACCUUGAAAUACCACCCUUUAAUGUUUGAUGUUCUAACGUUGACCCGUGAUCCGGGUUGCGGACAGUGUCUGGUGGGUAGUUUGACUGGGGCGGUCUCCUCCUAAAGAGUAACGGAGGAGCACGAAGGUUGGCUAAUCCUGGUCGGACAUCAGGAGGUUAGUGCAAUGGCAUAAGCCAGCUUGACUGCGAGCGUGACGGCGCGAGCAGGUGCGAAAGCAGGUCAUAGUGAUCCGGUGGUUCUGAAUGGAAGGGCCAUCGCUCAACGGAUAAAAGGUACUCCGGGGAUAACAGGCUGAUACCGCCCAAGAGUUCAUAUCGACGGCGGUGUUUGGCACCUCGAUGUCGGCUCAUCACAUCCUGGGGCUGAAGUAGGUCCCAAGGGUAUGGCUGUUCGCCAUUUAAAGUGGUACGCGAGCUGGGUUUAGAACGUCGUGAGACAGUUCGGUCCCUAUCUGCCGUGGGCGCUGGAGAACUGAGGGGGGCUGCUCCUAGUACGAGAGGACCGGAGUGGACGCAUCACUGGUGUUCGGGUUGUCAUGCCAAUGGCACUGCCCGGUAGCUAAAUGCGGAAGAGAUAAGUGCUGAAAGCAUCUAAGCACGAAACUUGCCCCGAGAUGAGUUCUCCCUGACUCCUUGAGAGUCCUGAAGGAACGUUGAAGACGACGACGUUGAUAGGCCGGGUGUGUAAGCGCAGCGAUGCGUUGAGCUAACCGGUACUAAUGAACCGUGAGGCUUAACCUU